RNAcentral lists this non-coding RNA (118 nucleotides) under Elusimicrobiota bacterium. RNAcentral's name for it is "Elusimicrobia bacterium c-di-GMP sequence". It matches the Rfam family "c-di-GMP-I riboswitch aptamer". From Rfam's summary of the family: GEMM was predicted in a large-scale screen for bacterial structured RNA regulatory elements. Genes associated with GEMM are involved in a diverse array of functions, including chemotaxis regulation, signal transduction, secretion and chitin. Lineage: Bacteria; Pseudomonadati; Elusimicrobiota. The record is from RNAcentral.
AAGCGAUAAGGGCAAAGCCUGAGUAAUCAGGGGACGCAAAGUCAUGGAUCCUUUGAAGCGCAGUCCUAAAGUAUUGCUAAUGGACUUUUUCUAAAAGAAGGAUCGCCAGACUGCCAAA